This 253-nucleotide ribosomal RNA is filed under the name uncultured bacterium. RNAcentral's name for it is "partial 16S ribosomal RNA". It matches the Rfam family "Bacterial small subunit ribosomal RNA", at positions 524 to 776 of the family's 1533-position model. The record is from RNAcentral.
GACAGAGGGGGCGAGCGUUGUCCGGAGUCACUGGGCGUAAAGCGCGCGCAGGCGGCAAGCUAAGUGUCGUGUGAAAGCCCCCGGCUCAACCGGGGGCGGCCAUGGCAAACUGGGUCGCUCGAGCUGCGGAGAGGCCCCUCGAAUUGCCGGUGUAGCGGGGAAAUGCGUAGAGAUCGGCAGGAAGACCAAGGGGGAAGCCAGGGGGCUGGCCGCAGGCUGACGCUGAGGCGCGACAGCGUGGGGAGCAAACCGG